RNAcentral lists this ribosomal RNA (403 nucleotides) under Verrucomicrobiota bacterium. RNAcentral describes it as "Verrucomicrobia bacterium partial 16S ribosomal RNA". It matches the Rfam family "Bacterial small subunit ribosomal RNA", at positions 355 to 776 of the family's 1533-position model. Lineage: Bacteria; Pseudomonadati; Verrucomicrobiota. The record is from RNAcentral.
UGGGGAAUAUUGCACAAUGGGCGCAAGCCUGAUGCAGCAACGCCGCGUGAACGAUGAAGGUCUUCGGAUCGUAAAGUUCUGUUGCAGGGGAAGAUAAUGACGGUACCCUGUGAGGAAGCCCCGGCUAACUACGUGCCCGCAGCCGCGGUAAUACGUAGGGGGCUAGCGUUAUCCGGAUUUACUGGGCGUAAAGGGUGCGUAGGUGGUCCUUCAAGUCGGUGGUUAAAGGCUACGGCUCAACCGUAGUAAGCCGCCGAAACUGGAGGACUUGAGUGCAGGAGAGGAAAGUGGAAUUCCCAGUGUAGCGGUGAAAUGCGUAGAUAUUGGGAGGAACACCAGUAGCGAAGGCGGCUUUCUGGACUGCAACUGACACUGAGGCACGAAAGCGUGGGUAGCAAACAGG